Molecule: ribosomal RNA, 397 nt
Filed under: uncultured bacterium
Lineage: Bacteria
Description: bacterial SSU rRNA
Rfam family: Bacterial small subunit ribosomal RNA
Source: RNAcentral
AACGAACGCUGGCGGCAUGCCUUACACAUGCAAGUCGAACGGCAGCACGGGGCAACCUGGUGGCGAGUGGCGAACGGGUGAGUAAUGCAUCGGAACGUGCCAUUGAGUGGGGGAUAACGUAGCGAAAGUUGCGCUAAUACCGCAUAUUCUGUGAGCAGGAAAGCAGGGGACCGCAAGGCCUUGCGCUCUUUGAGCGGCCGAUGUCAGAUUAGCUAGUUGGUGAGGUAAAGGCUUACCAAGGCGACGAUCUGUAGCGGGUCUGAGAGGAUGAUCCGCCACACUGGAACUGAGACACGGUCCAGACUCCUACGGGAGGCAGCAGUGGGGAAUUUUGGACAAUGGGGGCAACCCUGAUCCAGCCAUGCCGCGUGAGUGAAGAAGGCCUUCGGGUUGUAAA